This 440-nucleotide ribosomal RNA is filed under the name uncultured bacterium. RNAcentral describes it as "bacterial SSU rRNA". It matches the Rfam family "Bacterial small subunit ribosomal RNA", at positions 338 to 773 of the family's 1533-position model. The record is from RNAcentral.
CCUACGGGUGGCUGCAGUCGAGAAUCUUCGGCAAUGGGCGCAAGCCUGACCGAGCGACGCCGCGUGCGGGAUGAAGGCCCUCGGGUUGUAAACCGCUGUCAGGGGGGAUGAAAUGCAUCGGGGUUCUCCCCGGUGUUUGACAGAGCCCCAGAGGAAGCGCGGGCUAAGUUCGUGCCAGCAGCCGCGGUAAUACGAACUGCGCAAACGUUAUUCGGAAUCACUGGGCUUACAGGGUGCGUAGGCGGCGAGGGAAGUAGGGUGUGAAAUGCCUUGGCUCAACCAAGGCACCGCGCUCUAAACUCCCUUGCUCGAGUGAGUCAGGGGUACGCGGAACUUCCGGUGGAGCGGUGAAAUGUGUUGAUAUCGGAAGGAACACCGGUGGCGAAAGCGGCGUACUGGGGCUUAACUGACGCUGAGGCACGAAAGCCAGGGGAGCGAAC